This 701-nucleotide ribosomal RNA is filed under the name Klebsiella oxytoca. RNAcentral's name for it is "partial 23S ribosomal RNA". It matches the Rfam family "Bacterial large subunit ribosomal RNA", at positions 2242 to 2925 of the family's 2925-position model. RNAcentral also lists the same sequence under 2 other names. The record is from RNAcentral. Lineage: Bacteria; Pseudomonadati; Pseudomonadota; Gammaproteobacteria; Enterobacterales; Enterobacteriaceae.
GGGUUGCGGACAGUGUCUGGUGGGUAGUUUGACUGGGGCGGUCUCCUCCUAAAGAGUAACGGAGGAGCACGAAGGUCAGCUAAUCCUGGUCGGACAUCAGGAGGUUAGUGCAAUGGCAUAAGCUGGCUUGACUGCGAGCGUGACGGCGCGAGCAGGUGCGAAAGCAGGUCAUAGUGAUCCGGUGGUUCUGAAUGGAAGGGCCAUCGCUCAACGGAUAAAAGGUACUCCGGGGAUAACAGGCUGAUACCGCCCAAGAGUUCAUAUCGACGGCGGUGUUUGGCACCUCGAUGUCGGCUCAUCACAUCCUGGGGCUGAAGUAGGUCCCAAGGGUAUGGCUGUUCGCCAUUUAAAGUGGUACGCGAGCUGGGUUUAGAACGUCGUGAGACAGUUCGGUCCCUAUCUGCCGUGGGCGCUGGAGAAUUGAGGGGGGCUGCUCCUAGUACGAGAGGACCGGAGUGGACGCAUCACUGGUGUUCGGGUUGUCAUGCCAAUGGCAUUGCCCGGUAGCUAAAUGCGGAAGAGAUAAGUGCUGAAAGCAUCUAAGCACGAAACUUGCCCCGAGAUGAGUUCUCCCUGACCCUUUAAGGGUCCUGAAGGAACGUUGAAGACGACGACGUUGAUAGGCCGGGUGUGUAAGCGCAGCGAUGCGUUGAGCUAACCGGUACUAAUGAACCGUGAGGCUUAACCUUACAACGCCGAAG